RNAcentral lists this ribosomal RNA (409 nucleotides) under bacterium. Its description in RNAcentral is "partial 16S ribosomal RNA". It matches the Rfam family "Bacterial small subunit ribosomal RNA", at positions 355 to 776 of the family's 1533-position model. RNAcentral also lists the same sequence under 1 other name. The record is from RNAcentral.
UGGGGAAUAUUGCACAAUGGGCGAAAGCCUGAUGCAGCGACGCCGCGUGAUGGAUGACGGCCUUCGGGUUGUAAACCUCUUUCAGCAGGGACGAAGCGCAAGUGACGGUACCUGCAGAAGAAGCACCGGCUAACUACGUGCCAGCAGCCGCGGUAAUACGUAGGGUGCAAGCGUUGUCCGGAAUUACUGGGCGUAAAGAGUUCGUAGGCGGUUUGUCGCGUCGUUUGUGAAAACCAGCAGCUCAACUGCUGGCUUGCAGGCGAUACGGGCAGACUUGAGUACUGCAGGGGAGACUGGAAUUCCUGGUGUAGCGGUGAAAUGCGCAGAUAUCAGGAGGAACACCGGUGGCGAAGGCGGGUCUCUGGGCAGUAACUGACGCUGAGGAACGAAAGCGUGGGUAGCGAACAGG